This 255-nucleotide ribosomal RNA is filed under the name uncultured bacterium. RNAcentral's name for it is "partial 16S ribosomal RNA". It matches the Rfam family "Bacterial small subunit ribosomal RNA", at positions 99 to 354 of the family's 1533-position model. The record is from RNAcentral.
CGGACGGGUGAGUAACGCGUGGAUAACCUGCCUUACACUGGGGGAUAACACUUAGAAAUAGGUGCUAAUACCGCAUAAGCGCACAGAGCCGCAUGGCUCAGUGUGAAAAACUCCGGUGGUAUACGAUGGAUCCGCGUCUGAUUAGCCAGUUGGCGGGGUAACGGCCCACCAAAGCGACGAUCAGUAGCCGGCCUGAGAGGGUGAACGGCCACAUUGGGACUGAGACACGGCCCAAACUCCUACGGGAGGCAGCAG